CGCGGGAUGGAGCAGCUCGGUAGCUCGUCGGGCUCAUAACCCGAAGGUCGUAGGUUCAAAUCCUACUCCCGCAACCA
RNAcentral lists this transfer RNA (77 nucleotides) under Alcaligenes sp. Its description in RNAcentral is "tRNA-Met". It matches the Rfam family "tRNA". From Rfam's summary of the family: Transfer RNA (tRNA) molecules are approximately 80 nucleotides in length. Their secondary structure includes four short double-helical elements and three loops (D, anti-codon, and T loops). The record is from RNAcentral. Lineage: Bacteria; Pseudomonadati; Pseudomonadota; Betaproteobacteria; Burkholderiales; Alcaligenaceae. RNAcentral also lists the same sequence under 16 other names.